This 310-nucleotide unclassified non-coding RNA is filed under the name Hevea brasiliensis (rubber tree). The record is from RNAcentral. Lineage: Eukaryota; Viridiplantae; Streptophyta; Magnoliopsida; Malpighiales; Euphorbiaceae.
GACAUUCUACUGGCUCUUCCAUCCUUCGUUUCAUUUCCGAUCCCAUCUCACUCUCCUUAAAAUCUUUCUCCUUCUCUCUGCUCUUUGUUUCAGCUGUAAUAUAGCUUACCGCCAAUGGCUAAANNNNNNNNNNNNNUGUUCGUCUCUGUCUCUGCCAGCAUUCAUAAUGUAGUAAGAGUAACGGAUAACCCAGCUGAUCAACUGGUAGCUGUGCUUAACAGCAAUAGGACUGCACACAAGGGAUCAUCACUCUAUGACAAUCCAGGCCUAGCCUGCAUUGCAUUGCAGUACAUAAAAGCAUACCAAGGGG